Molecule: ribosomal RNA, 253 nt
Filed under: uncultured bacterium
Lineage: Bacteria
Description: partial 16S ribosomal RNA
Rfam family: Bacterial small subunit ribosomal RNA
Source: RNAcentral
UACGUAGGGGGCAAGCGUUGUCCGGAAUUAUUGGGCGUAAAGAGCGUGUAGGCGGUCCGGUAAGUCAGCUGUGAAAGUCAAGGGCUCGGCCCUUGAAAGCCGGUUGAUACUGUCGGGCUAGAGUCCGGAAGAGGCGAGUGGAAUUCCCGGUGUAGCGGUGAAAUGCGCAGAUAUCGGGAGGAACACCAAUGGCGAAGGCAGCUCGCUGGGACGGUACUGACGCUGAGACGCGAAAGCGUGGGGAGCAAACAGG